This 219-nucleotide small RNA is filed under the name Pongo abelii (Sumatran orangutan). RNAcentral describes it as "retained intron". Lineage: Eukaryota; Metazoa; Chordata; Mammalia; Primates; Hominidae. The record is from RNAcentral.
GGGGGCACCCCUGGAUUACCUAGAGUCAGAUGUAUUAUCCAAAGGCCUGCUUCUGAAGCCCCUCUUGCCUCCUCUCUCUGCAGCCUUCUUGAAACACAUCCUAAGCGUCUGAGUGCUGCAGAUCCAGUGGGGUCCGGACACUGGGCCCCGCAGGCGGAAACACGUUCCAGCCACCAGGAGGCCACCUAUUGUUUCAAAAUAAAGACUGGGUUCCUCUCG